RNAcentral lists this ribosomal RNA (497 nucleotides) under uncultured bacterium. Its description in RNAcentral is "partial 16S ribosomal RNA". It matches the Rfam family "Bacterial small subunit ribosomal RNA", at positions 28 to 507 of the family's 1533-position model. The record is from RNAcentral.
GACGAACGCUGGCGGCGUGCCUAAUACAUGCAAGUAGAACGCUGAAGAGAGGAUCUUGCUCUUCUUGGAUGAGUUGCGAACGGGUGAGUAACGCGUAUGUAACCUGCCUUGUAGCGGGGGAUAACUAUUGGAAACGAUAGCUAAUACCGCAUAACAAUGGAUGACACAUGUCAUUUAUUUGAAAGGGGCAAUUGCUCCACUACAAGAUGGACCUGCGUUGUAUUAGCUAGUAGGUGAGGUAAUGGCUCACCUAGGCGACGAUACAUAGCCGACCUGGGAGGGUGAUCGGCCCAAAUGGGAAUGAGAAAAGGCCCAGAACCCCAAGGGAGGCAGCAGUAGGGAAUCUUCGGACAUGGGGGCAAAGCUGACCGCGCAACGCCGCGUGGGGGAAGAAGGUUUUCGGAUCGUAAAGCUCUGUUGUAAGUCAAGAACGGGUGUGAGAGUGGAAAGUUCACACUGUGACGGUAGCUUAACAGAAAGGGACGGCUAACUACGUG